This is a long non-coding RNA of Rosa rugosa (rugosa rose), 787 nucleotides long. RefSeq lists it as uncharacterized. The record is from RefSeq and is a predicted model, not a curated record. The transcript has 2 exons. NCBI's taxonomy places the organism in Eukaryota, Viridiplantae, Streptophyta, Magnoliopsida, Rosales, Rosaceae.
ACCGGAACUUCCUUUUCCGGUCAUAUCACGGCGGCGGACCACCGGCGUUUGCUUUGUCUCGACGACGCCGAUGCACCUCUGGCCAAGGAUCGUCCAUGCACAGACCGUGGAGGGAGGUUCAAAGCUUGGAAGCUUAAAGCUUUUCCGGUGUCCUCGGCUUUUCCGGCGACUCCGGCAUCGUUUAGGUCGUCUGAGCUCUUCUGGGUUCGUUUUCCGUCUUGCCUGCACCUGUAGACGUGUCAACCUCGACUAUAGCUGGAUGUUCGAAGCUGCUGGGUUGGUGUACUCUGGCUCCUCCGUUUGUUCAUCGUCGAAAUUUCGGGAAGUACCGUGUCUUGAAAUUGAGCCUAGGUGAGCUACGUUAUCUAUCUUUAGACUUGGAGAAUUUUGGUUGUUGUUGCCGGAUGGGUGUUGUUAUGCAUGGAGUUUUGGUUUGAAAGUAAAGAACAGGGAGAAGUUAUUGGAGAGGUGAAAGUGUAAAGAUUAAGAAAAUGGUUAUUAAUCGAAAUUGAAGUAGUGAUUUGGUUUGCAAUGAUUUUGGUUGAUGAAUGAAAUUGUCGAUGGUACUAGUUUUGGGUUUUGGUACAAAUGCAGAGUUAAGUGGGUGUCCUUAGUAGUUUUGGAUACACUUCAUUUGAAUUGGAAAGUUGUUGGGUCUCCAUAGUAAAUUCAAUGAAAUUACUAUGUGACGUGAUUGUGAAGAAAAACAGAAAUUAAAUGUUAAAAGGCAUAUAAAUUGGUCAGUAUUCCAAUUUUAAGUGAGUGAAAUGUUCGGUACUUGGGCUAA